Nannospalax galili (Upper Galilee mountains blind mole rat) is the source of this 258-nucleotide long non-coding RNA. RefSeq lists it as uncharacterized. The record is from RefSeq and is a predicted model, not a curated record. NCBI's taxonomy places the organism in Eukaryota, Metazoa, Chordata, Mammalia, Rodentia, Spalacidae. The transcript is spliced from 3 exons.
GGGGGGGUGUUUUUUUAUUUUUAAUGAAUUUACUGACCCUUUUUAUCUCUGCUUCUCUGUUGUUUUCGGAUGCGGACUCCAGUGCUCCACCCGGAUUUGGGUGUGGGUGUAGACAGGAGAAUGAAGGCUCUGGAACAACCUCCAGAAAUGACCCUUGGUGCCGACUUGUCUGGAAGCCAUCACAGGGAGUUUUGAAGCAAAGAAUCUUCAAGUGGACCCGAGGGUGACUUGGCAACGCUGUACCUGACCUUUGACAGU